UACCAGUUUUCAACUGAUGGUUCAGCUGGUUCUAAUUGAACAAAAGAUGGCAAAAGCGAAAUGGAUUUAUAUCGUUUAGAAGAAAGAAUAGAGUCUUUUCCCUCCUUGAACAUGAGGAAUGGCUGUACAGGUUUCCCCCCUUGACCAAACUUUAGUCAGGCUCAUUUGAGUCCUCUUCUCAGCUAGGCCUAAUCCUUGGCCAGCUGAGCCCACUUUUAGCAAGAAUCCUACAAAACUGGUUUAUUGAGAAUCCAUCCACCCUUGAUAUCUUGUCAAAUGUCUCAUCUGCCAUCAUUGAUAUAUAAUCAAUUUCCUCUUCCACUCAUCUUUGGUACUUAACCACUUUCCUGAUGGUAAGUUUCCAUCCUUUUCCUCACCCUACCUGUUAACUAUUAAUCUUUCGUUUUGGGGUUAAGUUUAAUCGUUUUCCUCUAUUGAAAUAAUGGAAUAAAGUCUUCUUUAGAAGCACUUAAAAUAAUCUAAAAAUAAUUUAUAUUCAUCUUCACAUUAAUCAUUUCUGAAUAUUUUAAACUAUAUAAAUCUAGGGUUUUUGGUCUGUUAUUAUAUUCCAUUUGACUGAAGAAAUUCCUUUAUACUUUAGUACACAUCUGAUGGCAGUGAAGCAACUGAAAGAGCUUUUGUUUGUCUGAAAAUGUCAUUAUUUCUCUGCUUUUGAAAGAUAGUUCUGCUAGAUUUAGACUUCCAGGUUGACCUUUUUUCAUCCAGUGUUUCCUUAUUUAUUGAUUUUCAUCAAGAUAUACAAUAAUCUUACUUUUUAAUUGAGGUUCACCAUUUUAAAGUGUACAAUUCAGUAGUUUUAUUAUACUCACAGAAUAGUGAGUAUAUUCACCAUUAUUUUAUUCCAAAACAUUUUUAUUAUCACAAAAAGUAACACUAUACCCAUUACUCAUGAGCAAUAACUCCCCAUUUCUCCUUUCCCAUCCCCUAUAUUUUGUGUCUAUGAAUUUCCCUAUUCAGAGAAUUUCAUAGAAAUGAAAAUAUGUAAUAUGUAACUUUUUCUGACUGGCUCCUUUUGCUUAACAUAAUGAUUUUAAGAUUAAUUCAUGUCAUAACAUGUAUCAAUACUUCAUUCCUUUUUAUGGAUAAAUAUUGUUCCACUUUAUGGAUACACCACAAUUGUUUAUUUGUUAAUCAUUUGAUUGACAUUAGGGUUGUUCACACUUUUUUGUUACCAUGUAUAUUACUGCCAUGAAUAUUUAAGUAUAAGAUUUUGUAUGAAUGUGUGUUUUCAAUUCUUUUAGGUAUAUAUCUGGAACUGAAAUUUUUGAAUUACAUGGUAACUAUUGACUGGGUUGUUUAAACAAUGUAAAUUUAUACCUUACAGUUCAAGAGACUUGGGAAGACCAAGAUCAAGGUGCUAGCAGAUCUGGUGUCUGGUGAAGGCCUGCUUCCUAGCUUAUGGACAGCCACCUUCCUGUUGUAUCUUCAUAUAGUUGAGGAAGACAGAGACAAAGAUCAGAUCUCUUGUAACUUUACUUAUAAGGGCACCAGUCCUGUCAUUAUGGCUCCACCCUCAUGACCUAAUUACCUCCCAAUAUCCACAUCUUCAAUUACUGUCACUUUGGGUAUUAGGAAUUUUUGAAGGACACAGGUUUUCAGUCCAUGGCAUUCCAUCCCUGGAUUUCUGAAAUUCAUGUCCUUCUCACAUGCAAAAUACAUUAUUUCCAUCCCAACAGGUCUGAAGUCUUAAUUCAUUCCAGAAUCAAGUCUGAAGUCAAAAGUCUCAUAAAUAUCAUCUAAACUGGAUAUGAAUUUGACCUGAGGUAUGAUUCUUCCUGAACAAAACUUCUAAGUUUUGACCUGUUUAAAAAAAAACAAACAAACAAGUUAUGUGCUUCUAAAUGAAACAGGAUUAGGAUAGAGAUUUCUAUUCCAAAAGGGAGAAAUAGGAAAGAAUAACAUGAUAUGGGGUCCCAUACGAGUGCAAAACUUAGCAAGACAAAUUCCAUGAGACCUUAAAACUUGAAAAUAAUCAUCUUUGACUUAAUGCUCUGCCCUGUCCACCUGCUAGGAAAGCAAUAUCACCCCCAUAACUCAGCAGAGCUGCUUUCUAUGGCAGCGCCAGCCAUGCCACUUCUCACCCAGGAGGGGCCCCUCCCCUAUGACUUCUGUCAGAGGUCAUUUACCCUUUUGAAACACAGGCAGUGGCCUGGUGAUCUCUGAAUUCUCUUGGGACCAUUCUUCCUGGUUCUUGAGGAAACAGGUUCAUAGCCAAAUAACCUUAUCGUUAAGUCCUGCAGAAUCUAAGAAGUCCAAUAGAUUUACUUUAUUCUGUCCAAUCUUCUUCCCCAUCAUCAUUCAAACUAGCAGUGUUCCUGCUGGGGUGGGUGAUUAGGUAUGUAGUCACACUCACACCAAUCUCCUUGUCAUGCGGUUGCUUUGCCAUACCCUCAAGUGCUGUUGUCAAAACAUGAUUUCUCAUUUUAAGCAAUAUGGAUCAGCUGAAAUUUUUACAGAUACUUAAGUUCUGAUUCAGUUUUGCUUAAUGAUUACUUCUUCAAGUCAUUUCCCUCUUACAUUUUAUUCUAAGCAGUCCGGCAAAACCAAGCCACUCCUUCAACAUUUUGCUUAUAAAUCUCAGGUAAAUAUCAAGUUAUAUUACCUACAAAUUCUACUUCCACAAAACACUAGAACAUGAGCACAAUUUAGCCAAGUUCUUUGUGUCUUUAUAAAACAGAUUGCCUUUUGUCCAUUUUCUAAUAACAUAAUUCCCUUCAUGGUAAUACUAGAUUUUUCUAGCAUUCACUUUAAAUCUUUUCUAGCCUCUACCAAUUACUUAAUUCCAAAGCAGCAUCACAUUUUUAGGUAUUUGUUAGAGCAGACCCUGCUUCUUGUACCAUUUUCUUAUUUCAGGCUGCUGUUAGAAAUUCAACUAACAAUUAAGCUAAGAAGAAAAAAAUAUAUUUGAGCCAAUCCAAGGAUUUUAACCUAGGAAACAGACUCUCUCUUUUAAGCACUGAAAACUAUUUAACUGUUCUCUAACUGGAGUUAGAGAUGAAAUUUUAUAUAUUUUGAGACAGAGAAUUAUGUAUCAUAUUGACAAUUUAGUAUUUGAUUAGGCAUGGAAAUACAGAGUGAGCCUUUAGGUCAAUGCAACCCCUGUAUAUGAUGAGAAAAAAUAUAAUCUUAAGAAGUUCCCAUUGUAGUUCAGCAGGUUAAGAACCUGACUAGUGUCCAUGAUGAUGUAGGUUUGAUCCCCAGCCUCGCUCAGUGAGUUAAGGCUCUGGCAUUGCUAUGAGGCUGUGGGGUAGGUCACAGAUGAGGCUCAUUUCCCAUGUUGCUGUGGCUGUGGUGUAGGCCAGUAGCUGCAGCUCCAAUUCUACCCCUAGCCUUGGAACU
This 3360-nucleotide long non-coding RNA is filed under the name Sus scrofa (pig). RNAcentral's name for it is "lncRNA (ENSSSCG00025036453.1, ENSSSCG00035044888.1, ENSSSCG00175040625.1)". Lineage: Eukaryota; Metazoa; Chordata; Mammalia; Artiodactyla; Suidae. The record is from RNAcentral.